RNAcentral lists this ribosomal RNA (375 nucleotides) under Nematoda sp. RNAcentral describes it as "SSU rRNA". It matches the Rfam family "Eukaryotic small subunit ribosomal RNA", at positions 252 to 626 of the family's 1831-position model. The record is from RNAcentral. Lineage: Eukaryota; Metazoa; Nematoda.
CUGAAUAACUCUGCUAAUCGCACAGUCAGAGUACUGGCGAUGAAUCUUUCAAGUGUCUGCCUUAUCAACUUUCGAUGGUAGUUUACAUGCCUACCAUGGUUAUAACGGGUAACGGAGAAUAAGGGUUCGACUCCGGAGAGGGAGCCUGAGAAAUGGCUACCACAUCCAAGGAAGGCAGCAGGCGCGCAAAUUACCCACUCUCGGCACGAGGAGGUAGUGACGAAAAAUAACGAGAUGUUUCUCUGUGAGAUUCAUCAUCGGAAUGGGUACAACCCAAAUCCUUUAACGAGGAACGAUUGGAGGGCAAGUCUGGUGCCAGCAGCCGCGGUAAUUCCAGCUCCAAUAGCGUAUAUUAAAGUUGUUGCGGUUAAAAAG